Molecule: ribosomal RNA, 249 nt
Filed under: uncultured bacterium
Lineage: Bacteria
Description: partial 16S ribosomal RNA
Rfam family: Bacterial small subunit ribosomal RNA
Source: RNAcentral
AACCUGCCCUUCAGAGGGGGACGAACAGUUGGAAACGACUGCUAAUACCGCAUACGAUCUAAUCUCGGCAUCGAGGAAAGAUGAAAGGUGGCCUCUAUUUAUAAGCUAUCACUGAAGGAGGGGAUUGCGUCUGAUUAGCUAGUUGGAGGGGUAACGGCCCACCAAGGCGAUGAUCAGUAGCCGGUCUGAGAGGAUGAACGGCCACAUUGGGACUGAGACACGGCCCAGACUCCUACGGGAGGCAGCAUG